GUUAAAUAUUUAAAAAAUAACAAUAGUUUGUUUACUAGAAUUUACUUUUUGUUUUCAACCAUCGAAAACAAAGUAAUUUUCGAAUAAUCUUGUUAGCGUUGGACGAAUGCAUAUAAAAUACUGUAUUAACGUCCGAAGAAUCCGGAUUCAAUUCCUGACUCCCGUAACUUCAAAAGUUUAUUCAGAACGGUCCGGGUCCGGAUCGUUGAACUCCAUUCUUAAUCGGUCGGAUAGGAGAGAUAGAAAUGUUUGUUUCCAUUCUGGAGGAUCCAGGUUCAGUUCCCGGAUCCCACGCCUCAAAAAAGUUUUUUCAGAAGGUUCCCUCAUUUUGAUCCCCAUUCUCCAUCUGAUAGCUGACUUCAUUAGAGAUAUGAGAUAUCAUGAACAUACUGGAUGCCUCACUUAGAAUCCACCGGGUGGAAAGCGGCAUUAUGCCACAGAAAAUUCCAUCAUUCACCUGACGGCCGAUCCCACUACAAAUGUGAGUGAUCAGUGAUUACUCAUUGACAUAUAAGGAUGAAGUUAGUUUUAUUUUAUGUUAAUUAACAUCAUUAUUUGUCUUUGUCUUUUUAACAUUUUCAGAUUUUUAUUAAAAGAAUUAAUCAUUGCUUUAUAUACAAAUAAAAUAUUAAGACC
This 636-nucleotide long non-coding RNA is filed under the name Androctonus crassicauda. The record is from RNAcentral. Lineage: Eukaryota; Metazoa; Arthropoda; Arachnida; Scorpiones; Buthidae.